GCCCCCAUAGUUUAAUGGAUAAAAUUCAACUUUGCGGAAGUUGUGAUCUAGGUUCGAUUCCUGGUGGGGGCA
Molecule: transfer RNA, 72 nt
Filed under: Patescibacteria group bacterium
Lineage: Bacteria
Description: tRNA-Arg
Rfam family: tRNA
About the family: Transfer RNA (tRNA) molecules are approximately 80 nucleotides in length.
Source: RNAcentral